GGAGAGGUGGCCGAGCGGCUGAAGGCAACGGUUUGCUAAACCGUCGUACUGGUAAUAACCGGUACCGGGGGUUCGAAUCCCCCCCUCUCCG
This 91-nucleotide transfer RNA is filed under the name Phycisphaeraceae bacterium. Its description in RNAcentral is "tRNA-Ser". It matches the Rfam family "tRNA". From Rfam's summary of the family: Transfer RNA (tRNA) molecules are approximately 80 nucleotides in length. Their secondary structure includes four short double-helical elements and three loops (D, anti-codon, and T loops). The record is from RNAcentral. Lineage: Bacteria; Pseudomonadati; Planctomycetota; Phycisphaerae; Phycisphaerales; Phycisphaeraceae.